RNAcentral lists this ribosomal RNA (490 nucleotides) under uncultured bacterium. RNAcentral describes it as "partial 16S ribosomal RNA". It matches the Rfam family "Bacterial small subunit ribosomal RNA", at positions 28 to 507 of the family's 1533-position model. The record is from RNAcentral.
GAUGAACGCUAGCUACAGGCUUAACACAUGCAAGUCGAGGGGCAGCGGGAUUGAAGCUUGCUUCAAUUGCCGGCGACCGGCGCACGGGUGAGUAACGCGUAUCCAACCUUCCGUACACUCAGGGAUAGCCUUUCGAAAGAAAGAUUAAUACCUGAUGGUAUGAUGAGAUUGCAUGAUAUCAUCAUUAAAGAUUUAUCGGUGUACGAUGGGGAUGCGUUCCAUUAGGUAGUAGGCGGGGUAACGGCCCACCUAGCCAACGAUGGAUAGGGGUUCUGAGAGGAAGGUCCCCCACAUUGGAACUGAGACACGGCCCAAACUCCUACGGGAGGCAGCAGUGAGGAAUAUUGGUCAAUGGACGAGAGUCUGAACCAGCCAAGUAGCGUGAAGGAUGAAGGUCCUACGGAUUGUAAACUUCUUUUAUAAGGGAAUAAACCCUCCCACGUGUGGGAGCUUGUAUGUACCUUAUGAAUAAGCAUCGGCUAACUCCGUG